Byssothecium circinans is the source of this 96-nucleotide non-coding RNA. NCBI's taxonomy places the organism in Eukaryota, Fungi, Ascomycota, Dothideomycetes, Pleosporales, Massarinaceae. The record is from the annotation of a GenBank genome assembly.
GCUGAGAUGGCCGAGCGGUUAAGGCGGUAGAUUUAAGACCAGUUAGUCAUAUCUCUCCUGGGGAAACCCGCGUGAGUUCGAACCUCACUCUCAGCA